Molecule: ribosomal RNA, 1827 nt
Filed under: human metagenome
Description: bacterial LSU rRNA
Rfam family: Bacterial large subunit ribosomal RNA
Source: RNAcentral
GGAGGUUGGCUUAGAAGCAGCCAUCCUUGAAAGAGUGCGUAAUAGCUCACUGGUCGAGUGGUUCUGCGCCGAUAAUGUAGCGGGGCUUAAGUACACCGCCGAAACCGCGGCAACACAUGUAAAGGUGUGUUGGGUAGGGGAGCGUCGUGCAUGUGUUGAAGCCAUCUGGUGACAGGUGGUGGAGUGUGUGCGAGUGAGAAUGCAGGCAUGAGUAACGAUUGAUGUGUGAGAAACAUAUCCGCCGGAUGACUAAGGGUUCCUGGGUGAAGUUUGUCUUCCCAGGGUGAGUCGGGGCCUAAGGCGAGGCCGACAGGCGUAGUCGAUGGAUGACGGGUUGAUAUUCCCGUACCCGUGUGCGUGCGACAAGUGAUGAAUCUUAUGGUACUAACCGCCCGCCUGCGUGCACUGGUCUUUUUGGUUGGUGUGUGUGGGUGCGUGGGAUCUUCGUGGGUAGUAGUCAAGUGAUGGGGUGACGCAGAGUGGUAGCUAGGCUUCCUUAUUGGAUUGGAGUGCAAGCGUGUGGCCUGUGGGGUUGGGAAAUCCGCCCCACAUAUCAGGUGAGGCGUGAUGCGGACACCAUGUUGUGGUGGUAGUUAGUGUGCCUGUGCUGUCUAGAAAAGCCUCUAGCGAGUGCGUGCAUGGCCCGUACCGGAAACCGACACAGGUGGUCAGGUAGAGAAUACUAAGGCGUUCGGGUGAACUGUGGUUAAGGAACUCGGCAAAAUGCCCCCGUAACUUCGGGAGAAGGGGGACCAUUACUAGUUGCUGACAGCAUUAUAGCUGGUGGUGGUCGCAGAGGAGAGAGGGAAGCGACUGUUUAUUAAAAACACAGGUCCGUGCGAAAACGUGGAAGUUGAGGUAUACGGACUGACGCCUGCCCGGUGCUGGAAGGUUAAGAGGACCCGUGAGCACGCCUUAUGUGUGCGAGGCGGAGAAUUGAAGCCCCAGUAAACGGCGGUGGUAACUAUAACCAUCCUAAGGUAGCGAAAUUCCUUGUCGGGUAAGUUCCGACCUGCACGAAUGGCGUAACGACUUCCCUGCUGUCUCAACCACAGGCCCGGUGAAAUUGCAGUACGAGUAAAGAUGCUCGUUUCGCGCGGCAGGACGAAAAGACCCCGGGACCUUUACUAUAGCUUGGUAUUGGUGUUUGGUCAUGCUUGUGUAGGAUAGGUGGGAGACUGUGAAACCGCAACGCUAGUUGUGGUGGAGUCGGCCAGUGAAAUACCACUCUGGUGUGAUUGGGUACCUGAACCUUGGCCCGUGAUCCGGGUUGGGGACAGUGCCUGGUGGGUAGUUUAACUGGGGCGGUUGCCUCCUAAAUGGUAACGGAGGCGCCCAAAGGUUUCCUCAGUCUGGUUGGCAAUCAGAUGGUGAGUGUAAGUGUAUAAGGGAGCUUGACUGUGACACUGACGGGUGGAGCAGGUGCGAAAGCAGGGACUAGUGAUCCGGCAUCGACGUGUGGUUGUGGUGUCGCUCAACGGAUAAAAGGUACCCCGGGGAUAACAGGCUGAUCUUCCCCAAGAGUUCAUAUCGACGGGAUGGUUUGGCACCUCGAUGUCGGCUCGUCGCAUCCUGGGGCUGGAGUAGGUCCCAAGGGUUGGGCUGUUCGCCCAUUAAAGCGGCACGCGAGCUGGGUUUAGAACGUCGUGAGACAGUUCGGUCUCUAUCCGCCGCGCGCGUUGAAACUUGAAGAAGGCUGUCCCUAGUACGAGAGGACCGGGAUGGACGUACCUCUGGUAUGCCAGUUGUCACGCCAGUGGCAUGGCUGGUUAGCUACGUGCGGGAGGGAUAACCGCUGAAAGCAUCUAAGCGGGAAGCCUGUUUUGA